UACUAGAGUAGCACUCGCAUAUCAAUAAGCGGAGGAAAAGAAACUAACAAGGAUUCCCCUAGUAACGGCGAGUGAAGCGGGAAGAGCUCAAAUUUGAAAUCUUAAAGGGUUUCCCUUUACGAAUUGUAGUUUAAAGAAGUGUUUUCUGUUGAGGUUUUGGUAAAAGUUCUUUGGAAUAGGACAUCAUAGAGGGUGAGAAUCCCGUAUUUGACCUUUACUUUCAACUUUGUGAUACACUUUCAAAGAGUCGGAUUGUUUGGGAAUGCAGUCCAAAAUGGGUGGUAAAUUUCAUCUAAAGCUAAAUAUUGGCGAGAGACCGAUAGCGAACAAGUACCGUGAGGGAAAGAUGAAAAGAACUUUGAAAAGAGAGUUAAACAGUACGUGAAAUUGUCAAAAGGGAAGCGUUUGACACCAGUGUUGUUUUUCUGAAAAUCAAUUAAAGAACUGUUUAUGCUAAGCUGUUUAGACUUUAUCAGCUAUCUGUUUAGUUUUGAGCUUUUCUUUAAUGCACUUUUCAGUUAACAAGUCAACAUCAAUUUCUUUUGCCUGUAAAAAAGCUUGAGGAAGGUGGCUUGAGAUUCGUCUUAAGUGUUUAUAGCCUCUUGCCUAUGCAGUCGGAGAGAUUGAGGUCUGCAGCGUAGAUCCUUCGGGGCUAAAUGCAUUUGUGCUAAGUUAUAGCAUUUUAUAGACAACUUGUUGACUAUGAUUUGUCUUGUAGCUUACUCGCUUAUGUUAUUUUACCUACGCUUAGGAUGUUGAGCGCAUGUCUCUCUCU
RNAcentral lists this ribosomal RNA (775 nucleotides) under uncultured Neocallimastigales. RNAcentral's name for it is "partial large subunit ribosomal RNA". It matches the Rfam family "Eukaryotic large subunit ribosomal RNA", at positions 20 to 616 of the family's 3401-position model. The record is from RNAcentral. Lineage: Eukaryota; Fungi; Neocallimastigomycota; Neocallimastigomycetes; Neocallimastigales.